Molecule: transfer RNA, 69 nt
Filed under: Darevskia raddei vanensis
Lineage: Eukaryota; Metazoa; Chordata; Lepidosauria; Squamata; Lacertidae
Description: tRNA-His
Rfam family: tRNA
About the family: Transfer RNA (tRNA) molecules are approximately 80 nucleotides in length. Their secondary structure includes four short double-helical elements and three loops (D, anti-codon, and T loops). Further hydrogen bonds mediate the characteristic L-shaped molecular structure. tRNAs have two regions of fundamental functional importance: the anti-codon, which is responsible for specific mRNA codon recognition, and the 3' end, to which the tRNAs corresponding amino acid is attached (by aminoacyl-tRNA synthetases). tRNAs cope with the degeneracy of the genetic code in two manners: having more than one tRNA (with a specific anti-codon) for a particular amino acid; and 'wobble' base-pairing, i.e. permitting non-standard base-pairing at the 3rd anti-codon position.
Source: RNAcentral
GUAAAUAUAGUUUACCCAAAACACUAGACUGUGACUCUAGAAACAGAAGCUUCUAUCUUCUUAUUUACC